This 504-nucleotide ribosomal RNA is filed under the name uncultured bacterium. RNAcentral describes it as "bacterial SSU rRNA". It matches the Rfam family "Bacterial small subunit ribosomal RNA", at positions 28 to 531 of the family's 1533-position model. The record is from RNAcentral.
GACGAACGCUGGCGGCGUGCCUAAUACAUGCAAGUCGAGCGGGGAUUAUGCUUGAUCGCUUCGGUGAGACGGCAUAUAUCCUAGCGGCGGACGGGUGAGUAACGCGUGGGUAAUCUACCUCGUAGUUCGGGAUAACAGGCCGAAAGGCUUGCUAAUACCGGAUGAGUUCAUGCUUAUGCAUAUAGGCAUGAAGAAAGGGCUAGCCCGCUAUGAGAUGAGCCCGCGUCCCAUUAGCUUGUUGGUGGGGUAAUGGCCUACCAAGGCAACGAUGGGUAGCCGGCCUGAGAGGGUGUACGGCCACACUGGGACUGAGACACGGCCCAGACUCCUACGGGGGGCAGCAGUAGGGAAUUUUCGGCAAUGGGCGAAAGCCUGACCGAGCGACGCCGCGUGAGGGGACGAAGGCCUUCGGUUGUAAACCUCUGUCUGGGGGAUGAGAACGGACGGUACCCCGGAGGAAGCCCCGGCUAACUACGUGCCAGCAGCCGCGGUAAAUAGCGUACU